CCCUUAGAUGUUCUGGGCUGCACGCGCGCUACACUGAAGCGUUCAACGAGUAUUCACCUUGCCCGGGAGGGUUGGGUAAUCUUUUGAAAACGCUUCGUGAUGGGGAUAGAUUAUUGCAAUUAUUAAUCUUCAACGAGGAAUUCCUAGUAAGCGCGAGUCAUCAGCUCGUGCUGAUUACGUCCCUGCCCUUUGUACACACCGCCCGUCGCUCCUACCGAUUGAAUGGUCCGGUGAAAUGUUCGGACCGCGACAAGGCGGACGGUUCGCUGUCAGCUUUGCUGCGGGAAGUUCAUUAAACCUUAUCAUUUAGAGGAAGGAGAAGUCGUAACA
This 330-nucleotide ribosomal RNA is filed under the name uncultured eukaryote. RNAcentral describes it as "partial 18S ribosomal RNA". It matches the Rfam family "Eukaryotic small subunit ribosomal RNA", at positions 1470 to 1796 of the family's 1831-position model. The record is from RNAcentral.